UAUAUAUUUCUCUACAGGACCAAGGAGAAGUACUGUAUAUAUUUUUUCAAGAGAGUGAAGAGAUUUAGCAGAAGCAGUCGACGAGCCCAUGGGUUUCUAAAUCAGCGUUUUUUAGAUGUUGCCAGCGUACAAAGAAGUAUCCUUGAUGCUCAUCACACUGUUGCCGCUUGCUUUGCAUUUUGAGUCUAACAGAACACGUUGCAUAUUAACUCAUGUUUUAAGUGGAUCAUCUGAAGCUUCACAGAGAAAUGACUUCAGGAGCUGCCACGGAAGAUCAAACUUAUCGUGUAUAACCAUGUGAUAAGACAUUCAAAGGAAUCAGCUUUCAAGAGGAGACUAAUACGUCUAUCUUUGGUGAAUAAUUAGAAUAUUAGGAAAAAAAAUUGAGAUUCUUCUCAAUAUGUAAAUGUGUGAAGCUAUGGUAUAUGUAAUCUUAUUAUUAUGGUAAUCUUACUGUGUAAUUGAUGUAAAUGAUCUUUACAUAUAUUUGUAUUAUCUCUGUAAAAGCUGAAGGUGUAGUGGUCUUACAAGAUUUGAAAAAAAAGGAAGACUUC
Molecule: long non-coding RNA, 554 nt
Organism: Penaeus indicus
Lineage: Eukaryota; Metazoa; Arthropoda; Malacostraca; Decapoda; Penaeidae
Exons: 3
Source: RefSeq, a predicted model, not a curated record